AUUCCAAAGCAUUUUUAAAUAAUAUCUUCUUACUCUCAUUCUUUACAGUGGGUGGGAUUUUGGGAUAUCGUCAUUUAAAAUACAAAGGUUCAUACAAUACUGGUGAAGAACUGCGGACAAAAGAAGAGUUAUUGCUAAAUCAAAGUGUUUAAACUCAAGGGCAAACAAUCGGACGGCUCCUUUGCUUUAGCAUUAUUCCUGCACAUGGAUUCAUUGAAGUUUAAACUUUGUUGUAUUUUAUAAACUAGAUUUUGUAUUUAUUUAUAACUGCUACAAAAUGUUUUGCUUUUUAGAAAUAUAUUAG
This 304-nucleotide long non-coding RNA is filed under the name Sinocyclocheilus anshuiensis. RNAcentral's name for it is "lncRNA (ENSSANG00000017646.1)". Lineage: Eukaryota; Metazoa; Chordata; Actinopteri; Cypriniformes; Cyprinidae. The record is from RNAcentral.